Molecule: ribosomal RNA, 497 nt
Filed under: uncultured bacterium
Lineage: Bacteria
Description: partial 16S ribosomal RNA
Rfam family: Bacterial small subunit ribosomal RNA
Source: RNAcentral
GAUGAACGCUGGCGGCGUGCCUAAUACAUGCAAGUCGAGCGAACAGACGAGGAGCUUGCUCCUCUGACGUUAGCGGCGGACGGGUGAGUAACACGUGGAUAACCUACCUAUAAGACCGGGAUAACUUCGGGAAACCGGAGCUAAUACCGGAUAAUAUAUUGAACCGCAUGGUUCAAUAGUGAAAGACGGUUUUGCUGUCACUUAUAGAUGGAUCCGCGCCGCAUUAGCUAGUUGGUAAGGUAACGGCUUACCAAGGCAACGAUGCGUAGCCGACCUGAGAGGGUGAUCGGCCACACUGGAACUGAGACACGGUCCAGACUCCUACGGGAGGCAGCAGUAGGGAAUCUUCCGCAAUGGGCGAAAGCCUGACGGAGCAACGCCGCGUGAGUGAUGAAGGUCUUCGGAUCGUAAAACUCUGUUAUUAGGGAAGAGCAAAUGUGUAAGUAACUAUGCACGUCUUGACGGUACCUAAUCAGAAAGCCACGGCUAACUACGUG